CUACCGACCCUAAUCCUAACCCUGAUUUAAAUCGAACCUUGACUUAACCCUUAACUCACCCUUUUGAUCGCAGAAUACCACACGUAGGAAGACGUGUUUACCAGUAGGCCUAUAUUACCUCAACAUGUAAAAUCCUUUAUAGGCAAUCGCGUAAGCAUUAAGCAAUGUGGAUGAAGCAACUAAGGAAGAAGCUUGUAUUUAAGCCUCCACCCUCUGUGGAUCUUAUUUAAACUGACCUCUGCGGUAACAACGAGGUUUCAUUAAUAAGUCGGUAUUCUGAAUUUGACGCUUAGACCAGACAAUCGACAGCGUAUUGAUUUGGGUUGGAUUGGGAAUGUCUGGGAGUCUUGCUGAAGGAGAAAGCCUUGAGUUGAGGAUGGAGAACGGAGAGAGAGGCGAAGAAUUGGCUUCUCCCAAGAAUGAGCCAACAGCCUUUGAGGGCCUGCGAUUGAAGCCCACAAUACUCGGAGCGAUUGAAGUGGCAAUUGGGAUCUCCAUGGCACUGACCGCAAUUACGUAUCUGGCUGUCGAUGUCGACCUCGUCAUAACAGCAAUCCUCUUCUGGGGUAUCUUCAUCUACAUCCCUGCUGGGGGUCUGACCAUCGCUGCUGACAGGAAACCCACCAGGGCCAAGACCCUCAUUCAACAUUUAAAGUACAGAAUCCAUUCAUACCAUUUAACGAGAAAACACACACAUCCCUCACUGUUAUUGAUCCACAGGCUGCACUGAGACCUUCACUGACAAUCCUCUACCCCGUCAAAAGAAAACCCAGGAAUCUAAGACCCCCUCGUUCUAAAGUGGACAAAACAAAAGAUGAGCCUCUUCUAUCUUCAGAAUUCACACCAAAAGUUGUAUUUUAUAAAUAUUUCUUUGUGCACCUUUUUCAUCUACUGAUAUCUUUCUAAGGCGGUUUACUUUGAUAUUGCAGAGAUAUUGUAACCUUGAUGUAAAUGAUUGUUGUGUUUCCAGAAUAUGUUUUACAUAUAUAUCUUAUGUACAAUUGUUGCAUAUGUUUGUGUUUUUUGAUUACCUUUUAGUUUGAAUCAGAAGUUUAUUUUUCCAUUUAUGAAAAUUGUAUUGCUGCACAUGAAUAUUCAUCAGUUGUCUUCGAUCAUAUUAUCUAUAAGCCCUUUUCAUUACCUUAAUUUAAAGAUUUUAUAUAUUUACUACCGUUCAUGAUAAUUAAAAUACACUAGGAAAUCAUUUAUGACCCUGACUUUCCCUACUGAAGAUGCAGGUUUUAUCUUAAGGACCACUUCUGUCUACCCUGUAAUCAUUGAAGAUCGGCUCACAACGCUCAGGGGCGCCACCUGCAGGCCAGGGUGAAAACCUCGUUUUCUCAAAAUCCCACUCCUGUUCCGGUGAAGCAGCGCGACGGAGCAUCUCACUGGACAUGCGCGUCACACCACAGAAGUUGGCACGGCCGUUCCUCUUCCCAUUACGCGUCAGUUCCUCCGCGUCUCGAGUCGGGUCGGAGUCUCGUUCUCCUCGGUGUCACUGAGGAGUUGAGGUCUGCGCUGUCUGCGCCAUGGACGCGUCGGGUUGGGUUUACCUGCGCAGUGGGGCGGUGUGACCGAGGGGUGGUCCAGGGUUUGGAGACCGACGCGCUCUGCUCUGCUAGAGGAACCGAGGACCACAGCAGAGAACGUUCUCUACCCUCUGAAGAACGGUGCACGAAGGUAUCCAACACGGGAGGAGAUUGAGCUUAGACACACCGGUUGGAUUCCCGUGUUCCUCUUCUUCGUUCCCAGACGGCGGGAUGAUGGAAUAUUUUUUUUACGUUUUCCACGUGGAUUUGAAAUUCGCGUGAAAUUCCACCUGGAGAUCCGAGGAGCGGAGAGCUGGUCUAGAGAUCCGACGAGCGGAGAGCUGGUCUGGAGACCACUGACUUCGACCCGCUGGUCUGUAGUUUGAUGUAAAGAGGCGGACGUUUGUUCCUCUCCCUCUCCAGCCCAGCAUGACGUCGCUAACGGGGACCAAGGAGAGGUCCGUGAACCGGAGCAGGAGAUACGGGGGGCCCGACACCUCCCCGACCAAAUCGGCGUCCUUCUCCCCGGAGACCUGGUACCGCAGGGCGUACGAGGAGUCCCGCGGCGCCGCCCGGCCCGCCCCCGAGGGCGCCGGGUCCAUGCCCAGCUCCACGGGCACGCCCUCCCCCGGCUCGGGCACCUCGUCCCCCGGCUCCUUCUCCGGCUCCCCGGGGACGGUGUCCCCUGGGAUCGGGACGGGCUCCCCGGGGUCCCUGGGCGGCUCCCCGGGCUUCGGGACGGGCUCCCCGGCCUCGGGCAGCGGCAGCUCCCCCGGGAGCGAGCGCGGAGGCUGGUGUGAGGACUGCAGCGCGCGGCUGGAGGAGCUGAAGGGACAGGCGCUCAAACUGCUGAUCCCCGGACCCUGCUCCAGCAAGGUACCG
RNA transcript from Gadus chalcogrammus (walleye pollock), 2411 nucleotides. It is a transcript of the gene named membrane-spanning 4-domains subfamily A member 4D-like, with no coding region annotated. Lineage: Eukaryota; Metazoa; Chordata; Actinopteri; Gadiformes; Gadidae. The record is from RefSeq and is a predicted model, not a curated record. The transcript has 7 exons.